RNAcentral lists this ribosomal RNA (879 nucleotides) under uncultured euryarchaeote. Its description in RNAcentral is "bacterial SSU rRNA". It matches the Rfam family "Archaeal small subunit ribosomal RNA", at positions 21 to 903 of the family's 1478-position model. Lineage: Archaea; Methanobacteriati; Methanobacteriota. The record is from RNAcentral.
AGCCACUGCUAUCGGGCUCCGACUAAGCCAUGCGAGUCUAGGGGCUCUUCGGAGCACCGGCGGACUGCUCAGCAACACGUGGACAACCUACCCUCGGGUGGGGGAUAACCUCGGGAAACUGAGGCUAAUACCCCAUAGACCUCGGAUACUGGAAUGUUCCGAGGCUGAAAGCUCCGGCGCCCGAGGAUGGGUCUGCGACCUAUCAGGUAGUUGGUGGUGUAAAGGACCACCAAGCCUACGACGGGUACGGGCCCUGAGAGGGGAAGCCCGGAGAUGGACUCUGAGACACGAGUCCAGGCCCUACGGGGCGCAGCAGGCGCGAAACCUUCGCAAUGCGCGAAAGCGCGACGAGGGGAGCCCGAGUGCCCUUCCUUCGGGGAGGGCUUUUCUGGAGCCUAAAAAGCUCCAGGAAUAAGGGCUGGGCAAGACGGGUGCCAGCCGCCGCGGUAAUACCCGCAGCUCAAGUGGUGGCCGCUUUUAUUGAGCCUAAAGCGUCCGUAGCCGGACCCGUAAAUCCCUGGGUAAAUCCUGGCGCUCAACGUCAGGAAUUCCGGGGAGACUGCGGGUCUUGGGACCGGGAGAGGCUGGAGGUACUCCCGGGGUAGCGGUGAAAUGCUGUAAUCCUGGGGGGACCACCUGUGGCGAAAGCGUCCAGCUUGAACGGCUCCGACGGUGAGGGACGAAGGCCAGGGGAGCGAACCGGAUUAGAUACCCGGGUAGUCCUGGCUGUAAACGCUGCCCGCUUGGUGUUGCCGGUCUUUCGGGGGCCGGCAGUGCCGGAGCGAAGGUGUUAAGCGGGCCGCUUGGGAAGUACGGCCGCAAGGCUGAAACUUAAAGGAAUUGGCGGGAGAGCACUGCAACGGGAGGAGCGUGCGGUUU